RNAcentral lists this long non-coding RNA (363 nucleotides) under Eutrema salsugineum. Its description in RNAcentral is "long non-coding RNA (ESAL_LNC000326)". The record is from RNAcentral. Lineage: Eukaryota; Viridiplantae; Streptophyta; Magnoliopsida; Brassicales; Brassicaceae.
CAAGGAGGAGGAGGAGGAGGAGGAGGAGGACAGUACCAAGGUGGAAGGGGUUAUAAUCCUCAGACUCAACAGGGAGGUCGUGGUGGUGGUCGUGGAUAUGGAGGACCUCCACAAGAGUAUGGUGGACCACAAGAGUACCAAGGAAGAGGAAGGGGUGGACCUCCACAAGAGUACGGUGGACCACAAGAGUACCAAGGAAGAGGAAGGGGUGGACCACAAGAGUACCAAGGAAGAGGAAGAGGAGGACCUCCUCAUCAAGGAGGUCGAGGAGGGUAUGGCGGUGGCCGCGGAGGUGGAUCCUCUGGUGGACAGCCGCCGAGACAAUCACACCCCGAGCUGCACCAAGCUACCUCACCUGCUUAU